AGAGACUUCGGGGAAGUGAUGGAGGAGGGGUGCUACUAUGGGAGUGGUGACACGGAGUGCAGCCAGGGCCCCUGUCCUGCUGCUG
Long non-coding RNA from Gavialis gangeticus (Gharial), 85 nucleotides. RefSeq lists it as uncharacterized. The transcript is spliced from 3 exons. The record is from RefSeq and is a predicted model, not a curated record. Lineage: Eukaryota; Metazoa; Chordata; Crocodylia; Gavialidae.